Molecule: ribosomal RNA, 253 nt
Filed under: uncultured bacterium
Lineage: Bacteria
Description: partial 16S ribosomal RNA
Rfam family: Bacterial small subunit ribosomal RNA
Source: RNAcentral
UACGAAGGGUGCAAACGUUGCUCGGAGUUAUUGGGCGUAAAGCGCACGUAGGCGGCUUUGCAAGUCCGAUGUGAAAUCCCACGGCUCAACCAUGGAAGUGCAUCGGAAACUGCAGCGCUUGAGUACGAAAGAGGAUCGCGGGAAUUCCCGGUGUAGAGGUGAAAUUCGUAGAUAUCGGGAGGAACACCAGUGGCGAAGGCGGCGAUCUGGGUCGAUACUGACGCUGAGGUGCGAAAGCGUGGGGAGCAAACAG